GACGAACGCUGGCGGCGUGCUUAACACAUGCAAGUCGAACGGAAAGGCCCUGCUUUUGUGGGGUGCUCGAGUGGCGAACGGGUGAGUAACACGUGAGUAACCUGCCCUUGACUUUGGGAUAACUUCAGGAAACUGGGGCUAAUACCGGAUAGGAGCUCCUGCUGCAUGGUGGGGGUUGGAAAGUUUCGGCGGUUGGGGAUGGACUCGCGGCUUAUCAGCUUGUUGGUGGGGUAGUGGCUUACCAAGGCUUUGACGGGUAGCCGGCCUGUGAGGGUGACCGGCCACAUUGGGACUGAGAGACGGCCCAGACUCCUACGGGAGGCAGCAGUGGGGAAUAUGGCACAAUGGGCGGAAGCCUGAUGCAGCAACGCCGCGUGCGGGAUGACGGCCUUCGGGUUGUAAACCGCUUUCGCCUGUGACGAAGCGUGAGUGACGGUAAUGGGUAAAGAAGCACCGGCUAACUACGUG
RNAcentral lists this ribosomal RNA (468 nucleotides) under uncultured bacterium. RNAcentral's name for it is "partial 16S ribosomal RNA". It matches the Rfam family "Bacterial small subunit ribosomal RNA", at positions 28 to 507 of the family's 1533-position model. The record is from RNAcentral.